GUGAACGCUGGCGGUAGGCCUAACACAUGCAAGUCGCACGGCAGCACAGUAAGAGCUUGCUCUUACGGGUGGCGAGUGGCGGACGGGUGAGGAAUACAUCGGAAUCUACUUUUUCGUGGGGGAUAACGUAGGGAAACUUACGCUAAUACCGCAUACGACCUACGGGUGAAAGCAGGGGAUCUUCGGACCUUGCGCGAUUGAAUGAGCCGAUGUCGGAUUAGCUAGUUGGCGGGGUAAAGGCCCACCAAGGCGACGAUCCGUAGCUGGUCUGAGAGGAUGAUCAGCCACACUGGAACUGAGACACGGUCCAGACUCCUACGGGAGGCAGCAGUGGGGAAUAUUGGACAAUGGGCGCAAGCCUGAUCCAGCCAUACCGCGUGGGUGAAGAAGGCCUUCGGGUUGUACAGCCCUUUUGUUGGGAAAGAAAAGCAGCAGGUUAAUACCCCGCUGUUCUGACGGUACCCAAAGAAUAAGCACCGGCUAACUUCGUG
This 491-nucleotide ribosomal RNA is filed under the name uncultured bacterium. RNAcentral describes it as "partial 16S ribosomal RNA". It matches the Rfam family "Bacterial small subunit ribosomal RNA", at positions 29 to 507 of the family's 1533-position model. The record is from RNAcentral.